ACCUGCGGAGGACAUUACCGAGUGCGGGCCCUCGCGGCCCAACCUCCCACCCUUGUCUCUCUACACCUGUUGCUUUGGCGGGCCCACUGGGGCUCCCUGGUCGCCGGGGGACACCCGUCCCCGGGCCCGCGCCCGCCGAAGCGCUUCGUGAACCCUGAUGAAGAAGGGCUGUCUGAGUACUAUGAAAAUUGUCAAAACUUUCAACAAUGGAUCUCUUGGUUCCGGCAUCGAUGAAGAACGCAGCGAAAUGCGAUAAGUAAUGUGAAUUGCAGAAUUCCGUGAAUCAUCGAAUCUUUGAACGCACAUUGCGCCCCCUGGCAUUCCGGGGGGCAUGCCUGUCCGAGCGUCAUUUCUGCCCUCAAGCACGGCUUGUGUGUUGGGUGUGGUCCCCCCGGGGACCUGCCCGAAAGGCAGCGGCGACGUCCGUCUGGUCCUCGAGCGUAUGGGGCUCUGUCACUCGCUCGGGAAGGACCUGCGGGGGUUGGUCACCACCACAUUUUCCAUUAUGGUUGACCUCGGAUCAGGUAGGAGUUACCCGCUGAACUUAAGCAUAUCAAAAGCCGGAGGA
This 568-nucleotide ribosomal RNA is filed under the name Talaromyces funiculosus. RNAcentral describes it as "eukaryotic LSU rRNA". The stretch from base 196 to 349 matches the Rfam family "5.8S ribosomal RNA". Lineage: Eukaryota; Fungi; Ascomycota; Eurotiomycetes; Eurotiales; Trichocomaceae. The record is from RNAcentral.